Molecule: microRNA precursor, 53 nt
Filed under: Moschus moschiferus (Siberian musk deer)
Lineage: Eukaryota; Metazoa; Chordata; Mammalia; Artiodactyla; Moschidae
Description: miRNA (ENSMMSG00000021619.1)
Source: RNAcentral
CAGGCUUCUCCCCUCAAUCUCAGGACUAACCAUUUUAUUGUGAGCCUGAGAGG